CAAAUUCAAGGAGCUUCUACAAGAGAUGGUCACUUGAGUGGAUCCCCUGUUUAACUACUUCAUAACGGGUAGAUGAGUUAAACUUAGAAGGUCGUGAUGAAUUCACUUUUGCUAAUUAGUUCACUUGAGUGGAUCCCCUGUUUGACUGCUUCAUAACGGGUAGAUGAGUUAAACUUAGAAAGUCGUGAUGAAUUCACUUUUGCUAAUUAGUU
Molecule: long non-coding RNA, 212 nt
Filed under: Carica papaya (papaya)
Lineage: Eukaryota; Viridiplantae; Streptophyta; Magnoliopsida; Brassicales; Caricaceae
Description: long non-coding RNA (CPAP_LNC016034)
Source: RNAcentral